RNAcentral lists this small RNA (735 nucleotides) under Haploplasma modicum. RNAcentral's name for it is "bacterial LSU rRNA". The stretch from base 284 to 735 matches the Rfam family "Bacterial large subunit ribosomal RNA", at positions 1 to 497 of the family's 2925-position model. The record is from RNAcentral. Lineage: Bacteria; Bacillati; Mycoplasmatota; Mollicutes; Acholeplasmatales; Acholeplasmataceae.
CGCCCGUCAAACCACGAAAGUUAACAAUACCCAAAACCGGUGGCCUAACCAUUUAUGGAGGGAGCCGUCUAAGGUAGGGUUGAUGAUUGGGGUUAAGUCGUAACAAGGUAUCCGUACCGGAAGGUGCGGAUGGAUCACCUCCUUUCUAAGGAGUAAAACUAAAAUUACAAUCAAUAUACAUUCUCAUCAUAUUCAGCUUUGAAGGAUUUUCCUUCUAAUAUAAGUAAGAUCUUUGAAAAGUAGAUAAAUUCUGUCGUAACAAAUAAUAUAUAAAAAGACAAAAGGUUAAGGAAAAAAGGGCGCGCAGUGGAUGCCUUGGCACUAAGAGCCGAUGAAGGACGCAACUAACGGCGAAACGCCACGGGGAGCAGUAAGUAUGUACCGAUCCGUGGAUAUCCGAAUGGGGGAACCCGGCAUGUUGGAGACAUGUCACUUGUGAAAACAAGAGGGAACGCAGGGAAUUGAAAUAUCUUAGUACCUGCAGGAAAAGAAAGUAAUAACGAUUCUGCUAGUAGCGACGAGCGAACGCGGAGGAGCCCGAUACAAUAACAGUUACAAAACUAUUAAUGAGAAGAAUAAUUUGGGAAGGUUAACCAAAGAAGGUGAAAGUCCUGUAAUCGAAAUUAAUAGACUGGUGUAUCAAAGAGUACGGCGAGACACGAGAAAUCUUGCUGGAACGAAUAAGGAGGACCAUCUCCUAAGGCUAAAUACUACUUAGUGACCGAUAGUGAACCA